Molecule: unclassified non-coding RNA, 211 nt
Filed under: plant metagenome
Description: partial contains small subunit ribosomal RNA, internal transcribed spacer 1, and 5.8S ribosomal RNA
Source: RNAcentral
UUUCCGUAGGUGAACCUGCGGAAGGAUCAUUCAUAAUAAAGUGUUUUAUGGCACUUUUUAAAAAUCCAUAUCCACCUUGUGUGCAAUGUUAGAUCUCGUCAAUCUUGGCGAGAUUUUUAUACAUCAACUCAUUCUUUAACUAAUUUGUCUGAAAAAUACUAUGAAUACUUAAUUCAAAAUACAACUUUCAACAACGGAUCUCUUGGCUCUC